Molecule: transfer RNA, 67 nt
Filed under: Galerucella birmanica (water lily leaf beetle)
Lineage: Eukaryota; Metazoa; Arthropoda; Insecta; Coleoptera; Chrysomelidae
Also listed under: 1 other name
Description: tRNA-Ser
Source: RNAcentral
AGUUAAUGAACUUGUAUAAGUUUAUACUUUGAAAGUAUAAUAAAGAGGUUUAACCCUCUAUUAACUU